AUCUAGAUGACGAGUCCAAAACAGGAUGAAACAUAUCCUAUAU
This 43-nucleotide non-coding RNA is filed under the name Schistosoma margrebowiei. The record is from RNAcentral. Lineage: Eukaryota; Metazoa; Platyhelminthes; Trematoda; Strigeidida; Schistosomatidae.